This 250-nucleotide ribosomal RNA is filed under the name uncultured bacterium. RNAcentral describes it as "partial 16S ribosomal RNA". It matches the Rfam family "Bacterial small subunit ribosomal RNA", at positions 1251 to 1500 of the family's 1533-position model. The record is from RNAcentral.
GAAGCGGUGACGUGGAGCAAACCUCAGAAAGCCAAUCUCAGUUCGGAUUGUAGGCUGCAACUCGCCUACAUGAAGUUGGAAUCGCUAGUAAUCGCGAAUCAGAAUGUCGCGGUGAAUACGCUCCCGGGUCUUGUACACACCGCCCGUCACACCACGAGAGUUUACAACACCCGAAGUCAGUGGCCUAACCGCAAGGAGGGAGCUGCCUAAGGUGGGGUAGAUGAUUGGGGUGAAGUCGUAACAAGGUAGC